GACGAGUGGCGGACGGGUGAGUAAUGUCUGGGAAACUGCCUGAUGGAGGGGGAUAACUACUGGAAACGGUAGCUAAUACCGCAUAACGUCGCAAGACCAAAGAGGGGGACCUUCGGGCCUCUUGCCAUCGGAUGUGCCCAGAUGGGAUUAGCUAGUAGGUGGGGUAACGGCUCACCUAGGCGACGAUCCCUAGCUGGUCUGAGAGGAUGACCAGCCACACUGGAACUGAGACACGGUCCAGACUCCUACGGGAGGCAGCAGUGGGGAAUAUUGCACAAUGGGCGCAAGCCUGAUGCAGCCAUGCCGCGUGUAUGAAAAAGGCCUUCGGGUUGUAAAGUACUUUCAGCGGGGAGGAAGGGAGUAAAGUUAAUACCUUUGCUCAUUGACGUUACCCGCAGAAGAAACACCGGUUAACUCCGUGCCAGCCCCCGCGGUAAUACGGAGGGUGCAAGCCUUACUCGGAAUUACUGGGCGUAAAGCGCACGCACGCGGCUUGUUAAUUCAUAUGUGAAAUCUCCGGGCUCAACCCUGGGAACUGCCUCUGACACUGGCAAGUUUGACUCUCGUAGAGGGGGCGUAGAAUCUUUC
RNAcentral lists this ribosomal RNA (588 nucleotides) under bacterium RE16. RNAcentral's name for it is "bacterial SSU rRNA". It matches the Rfam family "Bacterial small subunit ribosomal RNA", at positions 90 to 672 of the family's 1533-position model. The record is from RNAcentral.